This is a non-coding RNA of Chlorocebus sabaeus (green monkey), 1024 nucleotides long. NCBI's taxonomy places the organism in Eukaryota, Metazoa, Chordata, Mammalia, Primates, Cercopithecidae. The record is from RefSeq and is a predicted model, not a curated record.
GAGUGGCAGCGGCCAGGCAGCCCAGUUUCGGGAAGGCUCUAGGCGCGCCGUGGCCCACAGGCACCUGGCACGCGCCUUCCCCGCCGCCAGGAUGCCCAAGAGGAAGGUCAGCUCCGCUGAAGGGGCCGCCAAGGAAGAGCCCAAGAGGAGAUCAGCGCGGUUGUCAGCUGAUAAAUCUUCAGACAAAAAAGUGCAAACAAAAGGGAAAAGGGGAGCAAAGGGAAAACAGGCCAAAGAGGCUAACGAAGAAACUAAGAAGAUUUACCUGCAGAAAACGGGGAAACGAAAACUGAGGAGAGUCCAGCCUCUGAUGAAGCAGGAGAGAAAGAAGCCGAGACCUAUGUAUCAUGUCUUACCAGUGGUCCCUGUCUCCCUUCUUGUACAAUCCAGAGGAAUAUUUUUAUCAACUAUUUUGUAAAUGUAAGUCUUUUAGUAGCUCUAGAAACAUUUUUUAAGAAGGAGGGAAUCCCACCUCAUCCCAUUUUUUUUAAGUGUAAAUGCUUUUUUUUAAGAGGUGAAAUCAUUUGCUGGUUGUUUAUUUUUUGGUACAACCAGAAAAUAGUGUAGGAUAUUGAAUUAUGGGAGGCUUUGACUGUCUCGGGUGUCGGCUUAACAUUCCAUAGAUGGGGGGAUAGUUUUUAUGUCCUAUAAUACAAAGCAUAUUAAAUGGCAAUAUGGAGUCAGUCCUGCAUUUAAUGUCUUGAACAUUUUAUUUUACUUCUAUUCUCAUGUUUUUUAGUAGAAUUGUUUCCUAAAGAAAACCACUCCUUGUUCAUGGCGCUCCCUGUCAGAAUUGUGUGCACUCUGUAACAUCUUUGGUUGUGGUAGUCCUGUUUUUCUAAUAACUUUGUUGCUGUGCUGUGAAAGAUUACAGAUUUGAAUAUGUAGUGUACAUGCUAUUCAGUUGUGAACUGGUGGGCCAUAUGUAACAGCUGACCAACAUGUGAAGAUACUGGUAUUUGAUAGCCUCUUAAGGAAAAUUUGCUUCCAAAUUUUAAACUGGAAAGUCACUGGAAUAACUUUA